GCGGCCGGGGUGCCGGCGGCCUGGCACGACGACCUGACCACGGUCGUCGUCGGCUACCUGCUGAUGCGCCUGGCGAUGGUCGCGCAGUGGCUGCGC
Molecule: transfer RNA, 96 nt
Filed under: Amycolatopsis acidiphila
Lineage: Bacteria; Bacillati; Actinomycetota; Actinomycetes; Pseudonocardiales; Pseudonocardiaceae
Description: tRNA-Gly
Source: RNAcentral